RNAcentral lists this ribosomal RNA (263 nucleotides) under uncultured archaeon. RNAcentral describes it as "partial 16S ribosomal RNA". It matches the Rfam family "Archaeal small subunit ribosomal RNA", at positions 748 to 1009 of the family's 1478-position model. The record is from RNAcentral.
CAGCCGUAAACUAUGCUCGCUAGGUGUCAGGGACGGUGCGACCGUUUCUGGUGCCGCAGGGAAGCCGUGAAGCGAGCCACCUGGGAAGUACGGUCGCAAGGCUGAAACUUAAAGGAAUUGGCGGGGGAGGCACUACAACGGGUGGAGCCUGCGGUUUAAUUUGGAUUCAACGCCGGACAUCUCACCAGGGCGGACAGCAGAAUGAUGGCCAGGUUGAUGACCUUGCUUGACUAGCUGAGAGGUGGUGCAUGGCGUAGACGUCU